AAGAUAGAGGAGAGUGUUGCCCAUAAAGAUAACCCAAGAGGGGGGUGAUUGGGUUUUUCGAAUAUUUAAACUUCCUAUGCAUAAUUAUCAAACUGUGGAGUGUGGUGAGUGAAUACUAGAUGAUAAAUAUAAAAAUAAUAAGUAAAUAAGAAGCAAUGUAAAGAAAUAAGAAGCCAUAAACAAACACCAAAUUUUUAUAGUAGUUCAGUGCCAAAUUUAGCACUUACGUCUACUCCCUAAGCCAUCCUUAAAAAUUCCAUUAUCAUCUCCUU
RNAcentral lists this long non-coding RNA (272 nucleotides) under Elaeis guineensis (African oil palm). RNAcentral's name for it is "long non-coding RNA (EGUI_LNC007450)". Lineage: Eukaryota; Viridiplantae; Streptophyta; Magnoliopsida; Arecales; Arecaceae. The record is from RNAcentral.